GUUGAUGCCAAUUGGAAAAAUCCAAUCAUGGGAGACCAGUGAAUGCCGUGACUCAUCAGACCACCAGGAAAAGCUUGUGAGAAGUCUUAAUUUGCCUGACUUAGGUACAUUUUCUAUCUUUCACCUGGACGGCCAUUGACAGGAAUGCCACAGUAAUAUUGCACGAGGUGAGAAAUCCCAGAUGCCCUUCAUGCUUU
RNAcentral lists this long non-coding RNA (197 nucleotides) under Mustela putorius furo (domestic ferret). RNAcentral's name for it is "lncRNA (ENSMPUG00000028315.1)". The record is from RNAcentral. Lineage: Eukaryota; Metazoa; Chordata; Mammalia; Carnivora; Mustelidae.